GGACCCGCACAAGCGGUGGAGUAUGUGGCUUAAUUCGAUGCAACGCGAAGAACCUUACCUAGGCUUGACAUGCAUCUCUAAACCGGUGAAAGCCGGGGAGCGGAGCAAUCCGUAAUUUGCACAGGUGCUGCAUGGCUGUCGUCAGCUCGUGUCGUGAGAUGUUUGUUAAGUCCAGCAACGAGCGCAACCCCUGUGAUUAGUUACCAGCACGUAAUGGUGGGGACUCUAACGAGACUGCCGGUGCAAACCGCGAGGAAGGUGGGGAUGACGUCAAAUCAUCACGGCCCUUACGUCCUGGCCACACACGUGCUACAAUGGCCGGUACAGAGAGCAGCCACGUCGCAAGGCGGAGCGAA
This 356-nucleotide ribosomal RNA is filed under the name uncultured bacterium. RNAcentral's name for it is "bacterial SSU rRNA". It matches the Rfam family "Bacterial small subunit ribosomal RNA", at positions 917 to 1271 of the family's 1533-position model. The record is from RNAcentral.